Long non-coding RNA from Peromyscus californicus insignis, 1553 nucleotides. RefSeq lists it as uncharacterized. The record is from RefSeq and is a predicted model, not a curated record. Lineage: Eukaryota; Metazoa; Chordata; Mammalia; Rodentia; Cricetidae. The transcript is spliced from 4 exons.
CACAUUACUGUGAAGGGACACAGCGUUAGGGUCCCCAGCCCUGGCUUCCACCCCAGGCUCAGAACUGCAGAGAUUGUCAUUGCAGCAGAACUUGAGCGUGAACAGCAAAAUUGUCCUCCCACUUUCCCUGCACUCGUGAGACAUGUCUGCUCCUGGCAGCACCAGUCUACUUCAGAAAAGAUGAUGGGCAUUGAAGAAACUCCUUAUGGAGUUUACUUUCAUUGUGGCAAUAGUUAGCCACUGGGCAAGAAAAUACACUUAACUCAACUGCUGAACAGUAUGCUGCCCAAAAUGGACAAGCAAGACACAAAAGAAAAGACUGCUGAUCAUUGCCAAGACAAGAGGUUGGAGAUCCUGGAAAGGCCAGUUUCAGACUAAGUAGCUUAGGAGACAGGGGCUGAGAGAAGGCCUAGAACCAGAAGAAACCAGAACAACUGGCUCCUUGUAUGCGACAUGCCUGACAGCUCCCGGGGCUCUUCCCAGGUGGAGGAUACUUUCAAGUCAAGUAUUAUAAAAGAACUGUCGAAAAUAUCUUCAUGCUGAAGAAGGCUCUGAAGGUGCUGUUGGCCUGCUCAGAAAUCGUUGAGGAAGAGGAAACUCUGUGUGGCCAGGUGAUAGCCUUGCACUAGAAGAUUGAGGUCCUGGCUCUGUGGAGCAGCAGGUAGGUGACAAAAGCUACAGACAGAACAGUCACGGAGCAGACAGGGAUAGCUAGCAGGACCUAGGCUGAUCAGUGUACCUCAGGGUCACUUUCCUGAGUCAGUCAUCAGUGACAUCUGAACAUGGGAUUUUGACUCAGGCACAGAGGUAUGUGAGUGUGUCUGGGUAUGGAUGGGCCUCCCCUUCCAAAUCCCCUCCUCUCCUUCCUUCUACUCCACUCUUUCUCUUUGUUUUGAGGCAUGGUCUUUAUUUUAUUUAUUUAUUUAUUUUUAACUUCAACAUUGUCUGACUGAUCUCUGGAUCCUGUUUGGAAGCAUCCACAUUGUAUCUCCUGUCAGUCUGUACAGGCCUAAAAAAAAAACCCAUGCCCUACCCUGCUGCCUCCCCACUUCUCACUGCCAUGAAGAAAGUCCUUGGCUGGGACUUUGGUGACCCAUGGGAAAGAGGCCUCUGCACAGCCAUCUUAGCUGUGUCACAUGUCUGUCUUCCAUUACUACAUUAGCACUCAAGAGACCAGUGCCACAGUUCCAAAGUUCACAGAAGGAAACUGGCAGCUCUUCAUCUCUUUUAACAGCAUGAGCUUGGCUGCUUCCUGAUUCUGUCUGUCUCCCCUCUCUUCCUUCCUCAUCAGGCCCCCGAGAAAAGCAAAGAGAAGUAAGGUUGCAGAGCAGGUAGUCCUGGCCACACCGCAUCCUGCAACAAACAGCUUCUAAACCUUCAGAUCCAGAUCCAGGGUUCUCUUGAGGUAAAAUCAGCACAAAAGAUUGCACAGUUCCAGGAUCAAAAGGUGCUAGGAAACACGGUCUGCAUGCUCCCCGCUUUCCCUCUGCCACUGCAGACUGCUCCCCGACAUCUAGGCACCGAACGCCCCUCAAAUUAAAGAUGCUCCCGUG